UACGGGGGGGGUAAGCGUUGUUCGGAAUUACUGGGCGUAAAGGGCUCGUAGGCGGCCAACUAAGUCAGACGUGAAAUCCCUCAGCUUAACUGGGGAACUGCGUCUGAUACCGGAUGGCUUGGAUUUGGGAGAGGGAUGCGGAAUUCCAGGUGUAGCGGUGAAAUGCGUAGAUAUCUGGAGGAACACCGGUGGCGAAGGCGGCAUCCUGGACCAACAUUGACGCUGAGGAGCGAAAGCCAGGGGAGCAAACGGG
This 253-nucleotide ribosomal RNA is filed under the name uncultured bacterium. RNAcentral describes it as "partial 16S ribosomal RNA". It matches the Rfam family "Bacterial small subunit ribosomal RNA", at positions 524 to 776 of the family's 1533-position model. The record is from RNAcentral.